AUUGAACGCUGGCGGCAGGCCUAACACAUGCAAGUCGAGCGGAUGAAGGGAGCUUGCUCCUGGAUUCAGCGGCGGACGGGUGAGUAAUGCCUAGGAAUCUGCCUGGUAGUGGGGGAUAACGCCCGGAAACGGGCGCUAAUACCGCAUACGUCCUGAGGGAGAAAGUGGGGGAUCUUCGGACCUCACGCUAUCAGAUGAGCCUAGGUCGGAUUAGCUAGUUGGUGGGGUAAAGGCCUACCAAGGCGACGAUCCGUAACUGGUCUGAGAGGAUGAUCAGUCACACUGGAACUGAGACACGGUCCAGACUCCUACGGGAGGCAGCAGUGGGGAAUAUUGGACAAUGGGCGAAAGCCUGAUCCAGCCAUGCCGCGUGUGUGAAGAAGGUCUUCGGAUUGUAAAGCACUUUAAGUUGGGAGGAAGGGCAGUAAGUUAAUACCUUGCUGCUUUGACGUUACCAACAGAAUAAGCACCGGCUAACUUCGUG
This 484-nucleotide ribosomal RNA is filed under the name uncultured bacterium. Its description in RNAcentral is "partial 16S ribosomal RNA". It matches the Rfam family "Bacterial small subunit ribosomal RNA", at positions 30 to 507 of the family's 1533-position model. The record is from RNAcentral.